This 1065-nucleotide ribosomal RNA is filed under the name Triticum aestivum (bread wheat). Its description in RNAcentral is "partial small subunit ribosomal RNA". The record is from RNAcentral. Lineage: Eukaryota; Viridiplantae; Streptophyta; Magnoliopsida; Poales; Poaceae.
AUGAAUCCAAGAGCAUUAUAUAUGCCAUGUGCUUGUCAUAGCCUAAAUCUCACUCUCUGUGAUAUGGCAAAAUCAUGUGAGAAAGCUGUUUCAUUUUUUGGAAUUGUUCAACGCAUAUAUGUAUUAUUUGCUGGCUCUACAAAAAGGUGGAAUGUUUUGCUUAAACAUGUUCCUAGUUUGACCGUGAAAUCAUUGUCCAAUACUCGUUGGGAGAGUAGAAUCAAAAGUGUUACAGCAAUAAGAUAUCAAGCCGCUGAGUUAAGGUCAGCUUUGUCUGAGUUACGUCAUGCUUCUGACACUGAUCCUAAAGAUAAAAGUGAUGCCAAAAUUUUAUUUGAUGCACUUGGUCGCUUUGAGUUUCUAGUUGCCAUGUGCAUUGACUCUGCUUUGAAGCAAAUAAAAGGUAUAACAAAUUAUUUUGAGAAGUACAGAGAUGAGGAGUUUUCUUCAAGUCUGACCAUCGCUAAAGGUAUUGCAACUGAAAUGGGAAUAGAGCCAUUGUUUCCAGUGAAACAGAAGGCUUUCCAAGUUAAAUAUUUUAAUGUUUUGGUUGAUAUGGCGAUCACUUCUUUGAAUGAUAGAUUUAACGAACUCAUGGUAUUUAAAGGUAUAUUCGGAUUUUUAUUGAGCUCGGGCACUCUCACGUCAUUAAGUGACAAUGAACUUGAAGAAUGUUGCACAAAAUUUGCAGAAACUUUCUCUCUUAAUGGUUCAUCUGAUGUUGAGGUAUACGAUCUUAUUUCUGAAUUGAAGAUUAUGAGAUUCACUUUGCCAGAUGGUGCAAUGUCUGCUAUGGAGAUUUUCAGGCAUGUUAGAGAAGUUGAUUGUUACCCCAAUAUAUCCAUUGCCUAUUGCAUCUUAUUUACUGUGCCUGUGACGGUCGCAUCGGCUGAGAGAAGCUUUUCAAAGUUGAAAUUAUUGAAGAAUUAUUUGAGGUCAACCAUGACUCAAGAGAGGUUAAAUGGUUUGGCCACAUUAUGCAUCGAGAAGAAAUUAUUGGAUGAGAUUGACAUCGACCCCAUCAUAAGUGACUUUGCAUCGAGGAAUGUUAGAAGAAAAUUUUAA